Long non-coding RNA from Gorilla gorilla gorilla (western lowland gorilla), 1158 nucleotides. RefSeq lists it as uncharacterized. The transcript has 6 exons. The record is from RefSeq and is a predicted model, not a curated record. NCBI's taxonomy places the organism in Eukaryota, Metazoa, Chordata, Mammalia, Primates, Hominidae.
CGGCGCCUCCUCUCGGCGUCCCCUGAGCCAGCCCGCGAGCGGCCGCGCUCCCGACUCUCCUUCCUUCCGCGCAGCCUCCAGUUCCCCGGGGCUGGAGCCCGCUGUCGGCGGGUUGCCGGCUCCUAGGGCGAUGAGAGUGGCAGGUGUGCCCUGCUGCACAGGUGGCCUCCGAACCCGGGAAAAGAGGAACUAAGGCGGAGGAACUGAGACGUUUCGAAUUCCAGAGAUACCAAGAACAAGAGCAAGAGAGAUUAUUUCUGGAUGCAGCAUGAGUGAUGAGUGACCCCAGUGUUCAGCUCCCAGGAGCAGCAGAGCUGAUGCCACAACCCAUGGAAUCCAGUGGCGCACUGCACACUCGCCGGGGGGCACGCCAUGCAAAUCUCCUUCUGGGCCAAUGCACAUGGUUGCUGCCACAGGUUUACCGGAUGCUAUCAAGGUUUCAACUGCCCACACAGCUUCUUCAACGUGUUCAAAAUACUGGAAUCAGUUAAGCUUUCUUUACCUCUGCAAUCAAGAAGUCCACGUUCUUCUUCAUAAAGACCUCUAACUGUUGCAGAAAUACUUUUUUGACUUCAGUUUCACUCUUGCAGCUAAGAUAUGAAGGUGUCUGACUCACUCCUCCUGCUACCAAAGCAUCUCCUUCAUCAGCCACUUGUCGGGCGACGUCGCAAGCAGCUUCAUUGACUUUCUGCCCCUAAAAUGGAUAUCUUCUCUAAGACAUAGUUGCCCCUGUUCUCCAGCUUGUCUUCACUCGCAUAGAAGGUGAAGGUCUGCAUGACGUUUGAGCCAGCUCUGAGGAACUCUCGAUGAAGCUGGCGAACUGGGAGAGUGAAUGAGGAAAGAGACAGCAUCUCACUAUGUGCCCAGAGGAUUCUUGAACUCCUGGGCUCAGAAGAUCCUCCAGUCUCACCCUCCCCAGCAGCCGAAACUACAGGCUCGUGCCACAGUGCCUAGCAAUGCUAUUAAGCCAUUUUAUUUUAAGACUGAAAAGGUGGCCAAAUCACUCAAAGACUUCUAUCUUUGGUGUUAAAAUUCAGUUUCCACAACAGUAGCUAUGCUAUACAGUCCAGGUUAUGAGUGUGCACAUGCUGUACUCUAUGAUGAGAACAAGGAAGAGACAACUAAAUAAAGUAUUUGUUGAAUGAUUUUUCAGCCCAA